This 253-nucleotide ribosomal RNA is filed under the name uncultured bacterium. RNAcentral's name for it is "partial 16S ribosomal RNA". It matches the Rfam family "Bacterial small subunit ribosomal RNA", at positions 524 to 776 of the family's 1533-position model. The record is from RNAcentral.
UACGUAGGGCGCAAGCGUUAUCCGGAAUUAUUGGGCGUAAAGAGCUCGUAGGCGGUUUGUCGCGUCUGCCGUGAAAGUCCGGGGCUCAACUCCGGAUCUGCGGUGGGUACGGGCAGACUAGAGUGAUGUAGGGGAGACUGGAAUUCCUGGUGUAGCGGUGAAAUGCGCAGAUAUCAGGAGGAACACCGAUGGCGAAGGCAGGUCUCUGGGCAUUAACUGACGCUGAGGAACGAAAGCGUGGGUAGCGAACAGG